Molecule: non-coding RNA, 1765 nt
Organism: Biomphalaria pfeifferi
Lineage: Eukaryota; Metazoa; Mollusca; Gastropoda; Planorbidae
Source: the annotation of a GenBank genome assembly
AUUGAAUCCAUAGUGUUUUAUUAAUUUAAAAUGUAGGCAUGCAGCAAAAAACAUUGUCAGCUUUCACUGUACUAUUAUUAUGAAUCAAUUUUGUACCAGGAAACAUUUGAUCACAGAAAUAAAAAUGUUAAAAUUUCCACCUGAAAAGUAGCUCCACCUCUGCCAUCAAAUUUUCAAAAGUAAGUAAUUAAAAAAAAAAAGUUAGUAUUUUUAAAAGCUAUCAUUUUUUAUGUAAUUUUCCAAACUAUGUACAAUAGUCUUUGAUUUUCAAAGUUUGUUUUAAAACAUACAUACAGUACUGUGCUGUGGAGGGCAAUUAGUUGUCUUCAAAACAAUCCCUAAUUAAUCCAAAUAUAAAAUACCAGUCACUCUUUUAGAAAAGCUGCAUUUCACAACAUAAGCAAAAUACAAAGCCCAAAAAAAAAAAAAGGCAGCAGUCUUCGGAAUUAAAAACAAUUUGCAAAACAAAUCAAAUGCACAUCAUAAGGAAUAACAAAUACCAAUAGCUAAACAUUGUAUACAACAAAGGUUUAAUGGUUAAUAUCAGCAAAGAAAUGAUCCUCAAAGUUUUGGUGGAGUUACACUGAGAGAAGGAAAAAAUUGUAUUUUGGAAAGUUGUACCAACUAACAAUAAGUGCCAGCAAUGUUGAUAGAAAAUAAGGUGCUUAGAGAACAAUGUGCAAUGCAAACUUUGGUGUUCAUGCUUUUAGCAAGAGAUUGAAAUGAAGGUCUGCAAAGAUGUAUAAAGGACCAGAGGAAGAAGCAUCAACACAAAAUGGCUGGCAAGUUUCAGGUCAUUAUCACUGCAUAGAGCCUGCCAGAUUUAGUGAGUAUUAUUUGUACACACAAAGUGUACAUUGUGUACAGAGCUGACACGCUUAUGAGAUUUCCAAAAUAAAAUUACAGACAUAGUUGAAACUUUCAAAAAAAAAAUCAUUUUUAAAAGGUCACUUUGACAACAAUCCCCACAUACAAAAUCAACACUACAGAAUAUGUUGUGCCUCUACAUACUUUGUACACAGGGAAACAACAAAAUUCUUGAGAUGAACAGAAUUGGCCAUGAUGACCGAAAUAUUUUUAUGGCUGAAGAUUUUUCAAAGCCGAUUAAUGAGAGUGUCGUCUUGUCAACACAAUGACUAAUUCUGUUACACGGCUGAGAUGAACUAACCUUUAAGAUUUAGUAAAAUCAGAGAAUUACCUUCUGACACCAUUUCUCAAUUAAACAAUUUUUCUUCACAAAAAUAUGUGAAAAGUGGAAAAAAUUUUAAAUAGAACUAAAUAAGCAACACAGCAUUAAAUAUUAAUAUCGUUUUUCAUUGUUUUAUAUUAAGCAUAUCUUUAGCAUUAUUUAGUUCGACAACCUUAAAAAAAAAAAAAUCACAACUUUUCUUCCUCUACUGGCUGGCCUGAAGGGGACAACAAAAAAUCACAACACAUUUCGUUUCCCACCUCAUUCCAGUUUUAAAUUUUGUAACCCCCAAUGUCAAAGAAUUAUCCCCACACCUCCAUAUCUUAAAGCCUUCCCUUUAUAGAAAUGAAUUGACAAAACACACAAGAACAAAUUGAGUAUGGCAUGCUUGGGUCAACAAGUAGCUUGAGCAGAAUCACUGGCAUAAAUACUACAGGCCAAUAUGAACAGGUACAGUAACAUAAACAUACAGUUAAAUGAUAUACACAUCACCAGUCUUUAGUCGUUGACUUAAGUACACAUUUAAUACCAACCCAUUUUUUGAGCUGAUAUUUUGAUACAAUUCCCCCCCCCCCC